AAAACUUACCUCAAGAAUUCUGUCUUCUAGAUAAAACUGAAAAGAAGUCUCCCGUGAUGGCAGAAACAGGAAUAGGGGCCGCUGGGAUCGCGCUCAUCGUCAUCUUCAUCUUUCUCUUCCUCCUUGGAGCCUUCGUCAUCUGCAAAUACACCCGGUGUGGUGGGUUCAGGAAAACAACAGCUAAAUAUUUGGGAGGAAACAGGAGAAACAGAACAGGAAAGUAACACCACAGGGUUGAUCCUGUGUCUUUUAUCCCCAGGGGCAGCUCCCGACAAGAUGAGCAAACGCUCCUACUCUAAGGAACCUGAAGAAGUGGGAACAAGUAUUCAGCCUGAGAAAGAAAGUGGUGACCCAUCCGCAGCUACGACGAGCUGCUCACCUGCCUCGGAUAAAGCAUCCCAGGUCUCAGAAGCUGAGGAACCCCACGGAGUGACUUACGCUGAGCUGAACACCAGAGCCCUAAGUGAGGGUCCCUCCAGCCAGACAGAGCAGCCCCUGGAAACCUGUGUGUACUCGACCCUUAAGGCAUAGCCAGGAGAACAGUUGGAGCCUGGAAAGGAAGAACUUCCACCAAGGGGAUGGACGAUGGAGAGAGGACCCUGGAGGCACCAGGCAAAUGGGGAUCCCUUUCCGCAAAUCUCCAAUGAAGACUUGUUCCCUUCCAAAAGUUUAUUUUUUUAAAAAACGAGAGGUAUCAUUUGCAUAGAUCAGAUGCAUGCGUCAUUUGCAUAUAUUUGCAUACACAUGAUCUAUUUCUACCUAUCCCCUUUGGUAUAACCACCGUCCAAAUAAAAACAGUAUUUCUAGCA
This 809-nucleotide long non-coding RNA is filed under the name Ursus americanus (American black bear). RNAcentral's name for it is "lncRNA (ENSUAMG00000005260.1)". The record is from RNAcentral. Lineage: Eukaryota; Metazoa; Chordata; Mammalia; Carnivora; Ursidae.